This 221-nucleotide ribosomal RNA is filed under the name uncultured archaeon. RNAcentral describes it as "partial 16S ribosomal RNA". It matches the Rfam family "Archaeal small subunit ribosomal RNA", at positions 468 to 689 of the family's 1478-position model. The record is from RNAcentral.
CGGUAAUACCAGCUCUCCGAGUGGUAGGGACGAUUAUUGGGCCUAAAGCGUUCGUAGCCGGCCUGGAAAGUCUCUCGUCAAAUCCAGCGACCCAAUCGCUGGGCCGCGGGAGAUACUAUCAGGCUCGGGAGCGGGAGAGGCCGACGGUAUUCUCGGGGUAGGGGUGAAAUCCUAUAAUCCCGGGAGGACCACCAGUGGCGAAGGCUGUCGGCUAGAACGCG